RNAcentral lists this ribosomal RNA (301 nucleotides) under uncultured bacterium. RNAcentral describes it as "partial 16S ribosomal RNA". It matches the Rfam family "Bacterial small subunit ribosomal RNA", at positions 509 to 807 of the family's 1533-position model. The record is from RNAcentral.
CAGUAGCCACGGGAAUACGUAGGUGGCAAGCGUUGUCCGGAAUUAUUGGGCGUAAAGGGCUCGCAGGCGGUUUCUUAAGUCUGAUGUGAAAGCCCCCGGCUCAACCGGGGAGGGUCAUUGGAAACUGGGAAACUUGAGUGCAGAAGAGGAGAGUGGAAUUCCACGUGUAGCGGUGAAAUGCGUAGAGAUGUGGAGGAACACCAGUGGCGAAGGCGACUCUCUGGUCUGUAACGGACGCUGAGGAGCGAAAGCGUGGGGAGCGAACAGGAUUAGAUACCCCCGUAGUCCCUGUCUCUUAUAC